This 373-nucleotide long non-coding RNA is filed under the name Mytilus galloprovincialis (Mediterranean mussel). Lineage: Eukaryota; Metazoa; Mollusca; Bivalvia; Mytilida; Mytilidae. The record is from RNAcentral.
UUAGGACUCGUUCAGUUGAAGGUUUAAAAACACCAAAGGUACCUGUACUUCCACAGCAAUCCAUGAGCCGUAAUCAAAAUCUCAAUGCAUGGGACUUCAUCUGAGAUAGGCACAUCUAAUAAAGAGUUACGGCAAAGAGAAUCAAAAUUAAAGAGGUUAGAAGAAGAACUAAAAAAAGAAAAAGCCUCCAUAAGCGACACCCUUAAAGAUCAAUCACGGCUAAAAACAUACUCUGUAAACAUGGAAGCCAAAGUUAAAGAGCUAGAAAAUAGUAACCGCAUAUUGCGUAUGAAAAUAGUUGGCACUCAAAAUCAACCUUCAGACUCACCUACAGAAACUAGAAAGAACAAUAGCCUACCACAGAACUCAAACG